Molecule: ribosomal RNA, 448 nt
Filed under: uncultured bacterium
Lineage: Bacteria
Description: bacterial SSU rRNA
Rfam family: Bacterial small subunit ribosomal RNA
Source: RNAcentral
UGGGGAAUAUUGGACAAUGGGCGCAAGCCUGAUCCAGCCAUGCCGCGUGAGUGACGAAGGUCUUCGGAUUGUAAAGCUCUUUUUGGCGGGGACGAUAAUGACGGUACCCGCAGAAUAAGCCCCGGCUAACUUCGUGCCAGCAGCCGCGGUAAUACGAAGGGGGCUAGCGUUGUUCGGAAUUACUGGGCGUAAAGCGCACGUAGGCGGAUCUAUAAGUCAGGGGUGAAAUCCCGGGGCUCAACCUCGGAACUGCCUUUGAUACUGUAGAUCUCGAGUCCGGAAGAGGUGAGUGGAAUUCCUAGUGUAGAGGUGAAAUUCGUAGAUAUUAGGAAGAACACCUGAGGUGAAGACGGGUUGCUGGGCUGACACUGACGCUGAGGCGCGAAAGCCAGGGGAGCAAACGGGAUUAGAUACCCACGUAGUCCCUGAGCGGGCUGGCAAGGCGCAU